Molecule: ribosomal RNA, 434 nt
Filed under: uncultured bacterium
Lineage: Bacteria
Description: bacterial SSU rRNA
Rfam family: Bacterial small subunit ribosomal RNA
Source: RNAcentral
GCUAAACGCGAAGAACCUUACCUACCCUUGACAUGCCAGGAACUUGCCAGAGAUGGCUCGGUGCUCGAAAGAGAACCUGGACACAGGUGCUGCAUGGCCGUCGUCAGCUCGUGUCGUGAGAUGUUGGGUUAAGUCCCGCAACGAGCGCAACCCUUGUCAUUAGUUGCUACGUAAGGGCACUCUAAUGAGACUGCCGGUGACAAACCGGAGGAAGGUGGGGAUGACGUCAGGUCAUCAUGGCCCUUAUGGGUAGGGCUACACACGUCAUACAAUGGCCGGUACAGAGGGUUGCCAACCCGCGAGGGGGAGCCAAUCCCAGAAAACCGGUCGUAGUCCGGAUCGCAGUCUGCAACUCGACUGCGUGAAGUCGGAAUCGCUAGUAAUCGCGGAUCAGCUUGCCGCGGUGAAUACGUUCCCGGGUCUUGUACACACCG